UACGUAGGGUCCGAGCGUUGUCCGGAAUUACUGGGCGUAAAGAGCUCGUAGGUGGUUUGUCGCGUUGUUCGUGAAAACUCACAGCUCAACUGUGGGCGUGCGGGCGAUACGGGCAGACUUGAGUACUGCAGGGGAGACUGGAAUUCCUGGUGUAGCGGUGAAAUGUGUAGAGAUCGGGAGGAACACCGGUGGCGAAGGCGGGUCUCUGGGCAUCUCCUGACGCUGAGGCGCGAAAGCGUGGGGAGCAAACGGG
RNAcentral lists this ribosomal RNA (253 nucleotides) under uncultured bacterium. RNAcentral's name for it is "partial 16S ribosomal RNA". It matches the Rfam family "Bacterial small subunit ribosomal RNA", at positions 524 to 776 of the family's 1533-position model. The record is from RNAcentral.